Molecule: ribosomal RNA, 406 nt
Filed under: uncultured bacterium
Lineage: Bacteria
Description: partial 16S ribosomal RNA
Rfam family: Bacterial small subunit ribosomal RNA
Source: RNAcentral
AUUGAACGCUGGCGGCAGGCCUAACACAUGCAAGUCGAACGAGUGGGGGGGGGGUGAGUAAUGUCUGGGAAACUGCCUGAUGGGGGGGGAUAACUACUGGAAACGGUAGCUAAUACCGCAUACCAUCAGAUGUGCCCAUAUGGGAUGAGCUAGUUGGUGGUGUCACGGCUCACCAAGGCGACGAUCCCUAGCUGGUCUGAGAGGAUGACCAGCCACACUGGAACUGAGACACGGUCCAGACUCCUACGGGAGGCAGCAGUGGGGAAUAUUGCACAAUGGGCGCAAGCCUGAUGCAGCCAUGCCGCGUGUAUGAAGAAGGCCUUCGGGUUGUAAAGGACUUUCAGCGGGGAGGCGUUACCCGCAGAAGAAGCACAGGCUAACUCCGUGCCAGCAGCCGCGGUAAUAC